GCUUACGGCCAUACCAGCCUGGGUACGCCCGAUCUCGUCUGAUCUCGGAAGCUAAGCAGGGUCGGGCCUGGUUAGUACUUUGAUGGGAGACCGCCUGGGAAUACCAGGUGCUGUAAGAA
RNAcentral lists this ribosomal RNA (119 nucleotides) under Salmo salar (Atlantic salmon). The record is from RNAcentral. Lineage: Eukaryota; Metazoa; Chordata; Actinopteri; Salmoniformes; Salmonidae.